UACGUAGGGGGCAAGCGUUGUCCGGAAUCAUUGGGCGUAAAGAGCGUGUAGGCGGCUCGGUAAGUCCGCUGUGAAAGUCCAGGGCUCAACCCUGGAAAGCCGGUGGAAACUGUCGAGCUAGAGUCCGGAAGAGGCGAGUGGAAUUCCUGGUGUAGCGGUGAAAUGCGCAGAUAUCAGGAGGAACACCAAUGGCGAAGGCAGCUCGCUGGGACGGUACUGACGCUGAGACGCGAAAGCGUGGGGAGCAAACCGG
This 253-nucleotide ribosomal RNA is filed under the name uncultured bacterium. RNAcentral describes it as "partial 16S ribosomal RNA". It matches the Rfam family "Bacterial small subunit ribosomal RNA", at positions 524 to 776 of the family's 1533-position model. The record is from RNAcentral.